CUUUUAAUGUAGCCACGAAAGUGACAGUCCCAAGCCUGAUAAAUACAGAGGGAAAG
This 56-nucleotide non-coding RNA is filed under the name Clostridium botulinum A str. ATCC 3502. The record is from RNAcentral. Lineage: Bacteria; Bacillati; Bacillota; Clostridia; Eubacteriales; Clostridiaceae.